GCCUGGGUGGCUCAGUCGGUUGAGCAUCUGACUUCAGCUCAGGUCAUGUUCUCACAGUUUGUGAUUUUGAGUCCCACAUCAGGCU
Molecule: transfer RNA, 85 nt
Filed under: Felis catus (domestic cat)
Lineage: Eukaryota; Metazoa; Chordata; Mammalia; Carnivora; Felidae
Rfam family: tRNA
About the family: Transfer RNA (tRNA) molecules are approximately 80 nucleotides in length. Their secondary structure includes four short double-helical elements and three loops (D, anti-codon, and T loops). Further hydrogen bonds mediate the characteristic L-shaped molecular structure. tRNAs have two regions of fundamental functional importance: the anti-codon, which is responsible for specific mRNA codon recognition, and the 3' end, to which the tRNAs corresponding amino acid is attached (by aminoacyl-tRNA synthetases). tRNAs cope with the degeneracy of the genetic code in two manners: having more than one tRNA (with a specific anti-codon) for a particular amino acid; and 'wobble' base-pairing, i.e. permitting non-standard base-pairing at the 3rd anti-codon position.
Source: Rfam by way of RNAcentral